GCCGUUGCAAAGGCAACGAUCCGAACUUCCGAAGUGAAGUGAACUGAACCAAACCAGCUGACAGACAUUGCGACCCCAAAAGAAGUAUUUUAUUUAUAUGUAACAGUUGACAAUUAACAAAUAGUCCUCGAGAGUUUUCAAGUCAUAAACAGAACACCACUAAAUGUCGGAAGAUACUGUUUGGUCUGCAAGUGAAGCUGCUAAUGUAUACCUUUCAAGUGUGGUCGCUGGGGCUUCAGAUGUAGCAUCCAGUGUGACCCAGAGUGUUGGUGUAGCUGUUCAUACUGUUGCAUAUGGAAUGGGUGAUGUAGUUCAAAAUGUGUCAAGUGGGGUAGGAGGAGCUGUUCAUGAGGUUACCUCUGGAGUUAAAAGAUUGCUUACUUCCCCACCAAAAGCUUUAGAUGAUAUGGAUGAAGAUAUGGAUGAAGAUGAGCACCCUGGUGUUCUUCCCCCCACUCCACGAAAUUCCACUUCACCUUAUCUAGAUCUAGAUCAUCCCCAAAGUGACCAGAGCCCCGGAACAGAUUCUGAAAUGGCUGCUGAAGAAGCUGCUAUUAAUAUUGAGUUAGGAAUUACUGAAGAUCAUUUUUGCCGACCUGAGGAGGGUUAUUUUGAACAGUCCUUAGAAGAACUUGAGGGAAGUGUAGAGAAAUGUAAAACUUUAAUUCUACAGUGUGAAGAGUCAAGUACAAGACGUCGAGCUCUUGUCCACAAAUUGAUACAACUUCGCCUGAGAGUGCAGGAGGCUAAUGAAUCUAUUGAAAUAGCAUCAUCAGGUGUUGUGUGUCUGAUGAAUCACCACUUUCAGCCUUUGAAGCCUCCGCUAGCAAGAGCAUCAAAAGAAUUUUGCGACCAGUGUGCUAACAUCAUUUGGGGUGUUAUCCAUGUGUCUUAUAGAUGCACUUUAUGUGGUUACCGAUGUCAUGGUCGAUGUGUUAAUAGAGUUCGGCGGAGAUGUGCCAGUGUGAAAGUGAAUGAGGAAGCUUCAUACAUUUUAAGCAUUUGUCCAGAAGUUGGAUUAUCAGCUCAGAACUACAGAUGUGCAGAGUGCAGGAGACUGAUAACAAAUAAAUACUUUCGUGUUUUCAAAAAGAAUGGAAAGGAAGUUCAGAGAAAAGCCCACCCUAGGGGCGUCUCAUGUUUGAGUGACCCAUUCAGAAAAGAGAACGCUUGGAGUGAACCUAGACGGUGUGACUAUUCUGGUCUUUACUAUUGCCCAGCUUGUCAUUGGAAUUCCCGUGUUGUGUUGCCAGCAAGAGUUGUUCAUAACUGGGACUUUGAAGAACGAGUAGUUAGUCGGCAAGCAAAACAGUUCCUUUUGCUGAUGAAAAAUAAGCCUGUGUUGAAUGUAGAAAGAAUUAAUGGCUACUUAUUCAAGUUUGUUGAUGAACUUGGUACAGUUAAGAAACUGAGAGAAGAUCUUCUUGUCAUGAAACAGUAUCUUGGAACUUGUAGAUCUGCUCAGGAAUCUCGAAUGCUGCGACAGUUAGAAGAACGUCAGCAUUUUGUUGAAAAUGCUCAUAUGUAUUCACUUCAGGAUCUGAUUGAUACUAAUUCAGGGCAAUUAGUAGAUUACUUGAAAAAAGUGCAUGAAACUUUCUCCAACCAUAUCAAGAAUGAAUGUUUGGUAUGUCAAGGAAAAGGAUACAUCUGUGAGAUAUGCGAUGUCAGUGAAAUAAUAUUCCCCUUCGAUGGUGGUGUUGUCAUAUGCAAUGGAUGUUCCACAGUUUUGCAUCACUUUUGUUAUACUUCUCGAUCUACAACGUGCCCUAGAUGUUUACGCCAAGAAGCAAGAAGAAAACAAGAAUUAACCAAGCAAAUGUCAAAAGAAGAAGAAGGAUGAAAGUGAAUCCAGCUACAUUUUUAUAAUGCUGUUUCAGUCAUUCACUCACUGUCAUCAGCAGGGGUACAGUUGAUCAGUGAAUCAACAUUCCAAUACACUAGCUGAGCACAGUAAAAAAAAAUGAAAUGAAAAAGGAAAGAAACUUCACAGGUCACAAUUGUUCUUCAUGAAACUACACAAAACAGGUUUCUUAGCUCCAGUGAGGUCUGCUUGUUUAAAAAUUUGCAGUGAAAUUUUCUUCUGCUGGAGGGGAGAGCCUAGCCAGAAUUGUUUUGGGCUUAUGUUUGGAGCUCAUCAAGAUCCUUCCAUAUCACAUCCAUUACCUUGUUGUAGGCUUAUCCACUGUUUGUCAAUAUGCACAUGCUCCAACUCCAUGUGAAGAGAUUUCCAGGCACUACUGUGCAAGAAGGCCCUCUGAUGUGGACACCAAUACCAGACCAGAUAAGACAUUACCCUAAAAAAACUGGUAAAUCUACUAUAUGUAAUCAUGGGGAGAGGUGUAUAUAUAUACUAUAUGAAUAAUAUGGAUGAUGUUCUCAAUGACAAACCAGUUUUAAACAUUAAAGAGGUACAUUGAAGAGUAAGAGUACAGCAUGUAGUAUGGUAAAAAGGGUAAACAGACUGCAGCAGGGUGUCAAGUUCACUAAGGUGGUUGGCAACUAUAUGAAGACCUACCAUUCCUUAAGACAAAAUCUGUUUUGUUUACCAGUGUUCCAGUUCAAAAGACCUCUUCAUUACCACCUGAGCAGAAAAUUCUGAAAAAACUAGCAAAUCUAGAAGGUUUUUGCCAGUGUCUUCAAUCUAACAAAUGUUGCUAGCAAAGAGAAGAUUAUUCCUUUUCUUAUCAAACCAAAGCCCUGUAAAGUCCAGAUCGGUCGGUGUGACCCUCAGGCCAUCCUUGCUUCAAAAGCAAAACUCUCAAGAAACACUGAUCCAGCGCUCCUGCUUCAAACAGGCUUUGACAUUGUUAGAACUGUAAUAAUGAAUGUUUGUCAGACAAUGGAAGCUUUCCAACCUUAUGUAUCGAACUCUUCCAAUUUGUAUAUAGAAUUGUUAACCACUCUUCCAGGUGUGAGAAAACACAUCUGGCUGUAUACAGAUACCUCUGUUUUUUCCUUAUAUCAAAUGCUACUUUUAUGCUCGCAAGAAUUCUUGACCUGUCCGAAACGUUACCGAUAAAUCAGAAUACACCUUGACUCUGCCACUCACUCGCCGCAUCAUUAUACCUGUGACCCCUGGAGAUGACUGAUGCUGCCAGCACCAGCUUAUCCAAUGACUGCUGCAGCAGCAGCAAGCAUCUGCCUGCCCACCCUUGACAACCCACAACCCAGAGGCCUGGUGUCUUCAGAGUGGAUACCAUCUUCAGGUCUAAGAUGAUCUCAUUAUCAUGCAAAGCCUAUGCCAUCCUCGAGUUCCUGCCAGACGACGACUUUGAACAAAUCACAGAAUGGCUAGCCGACCAAAAGAACGCUGUCACAAACAAAGCACUGAGGGACCAACAAAGCACAGGAGGACCAACUAAGGUUGUCCUUCAGCAUGCCACCUGCCCUCAAAGCAAAGUAGUUCUUAAGAGAACAUGGGGACAGCAAUAGGAGACCAGCAGCUGUCAUGUCUACAAGCAACUGUGGCAGCUAAUUACACUCCCUGCCAUAGGUGGCCGGCCAUAAACUACGUUUGACCUGUGAGAGAGGUCCUCAUCGUAAAAUUACCUCGCCAAACAGUUGCGGCCAUCCCCAGUUCAUCAACCAUGGACCUCGACGAGUUCCUGAAGAUGGUCAAAGCUGUCCACCUGGCCCACAAGUCAACUGAGCCUACACAACCACUCGUAGCAGCAGUCACCCCACAGCCACAACAGCAGGCUUAUGCAGAGACAGACACAACUCAAAGGGCCCCGCUGGUCCCAUACACUGCUACCUGAGCUUCAGGUGGAAAAACAAACCCAAAACCAAAGGACAUCCCAAGGGCAUUUGUUUCUUACCACUGGAGGUUCGGGAAUAAAGCCCAAGCAUGCAAAAAUGACUGCUGUAUGUCAAAAAAAAAAAAAAAACAUACAAAAAGGUCGCAGUAACAAACUAAAAGUUAGCCGUGGGCAGACCAGUUGCCUCAAAAAAGCAACCACCUGGUUUCUGUUGUCUUUCUUCUAUGUACAGGCAAAAGGACUCCACAUGUUUUUUUACCAGAGGUCAGUUGCCUACUACAGGAGUUCCCGAGGUAUUUAUGGACAUCCUGCAACACGACCUGACCAAACCCGAAAAGCAGCACAUCCAGCACCAUAUGGUCAGUGAAGGUCCAUCCAGUAUACACCCAUUUCAGACAAUUGUCCCCAAAAAAAUCGCCCACACCAAACAAGCUUUCCACAACUUAAAACGGUCAGAAAUAGGCCAAAAAGUCUCCAGCCCCUGGGCAUCUCCCUUCACAUGGUACCAUUGAUGUUGCAUGGCAGACCUUGUGGCAAAUCCCAAGGACUCAACAUCAGGCGCCCAAUGCUGAACAUUGCUGAUGGAGGGCGCCAGAACUUUUACAAAGAUUGAUCUGCUUGAAGGGAUAAUUACAAGUCUCGUUAGCAAAGAAGGACAUAGAAAAAGUGGUCAUUAUCACUCCCUUCAGCAUGUACACCUUUAACUACAGUUGCUUUCGUCUUCAGAACUCGGGUGCGAUCUUCCAACGUCUGACAGAUGAAAUCCUGGGCAACCUACCCUUCAGUCAAUUUCAGCCCCAACAUCAAACAACACAUGAGACAUCAGGUCCCUCACCCUACCAACAGACAUAAGCAGCACAGCGAUGGGCGUGGUACUCUAACAAGACGCAGACGACGUUUGUCGCCCCUUGGCAUUCUUUAGCAAGAAGUGAUGACCAGCAGAACAAAAGCAAUCCACGGUUGACUGAGAUUUACUGGCAGUCCACAGAGCCAUCCACCAAAUGCUAUAUUGACAAAAAUUCGUGGUGCAUGCCUUCACCAAAAGUGGAGACAGUUGGUUGGCAAGAGAACAGCGUCACCUAGCGGCAAUAACUGAAUGCUCCUGUACCAUCAUAUACUUAAAGGGCUCAUCCAACAACAUGGGAGAUGCCCUUUCCUGAAACUCCAUUAACAUCGUCCAGUUCAGGAUAACAUAUCCCAAAAUAGCAUCAGCUCAGAAGUAUGAUGUGAACCUACAGUGACUCGACAACUUGCAUGAGAACCCUGCCUUACGUGGGAGAUGAGUACCUGAUGCCCUCGGCCAUACCUACUAUUAGGGUUGAGAUAGAAAGCCUUCAACCUCACCCAUAGCCUGUCCCACCCUUCAGGCAGAUCAGCCACUUGAACCGUCAGAGCAGUAAAUGAAGGCAGACAUAAAAAAGUGGGCAAGAGAAUGCCUCCCAUGUCAAACAUAAAAAAAUGAGGCACACAGAAACAGGGAUAGGAGAGUUCCAGACAGUGGUGACUAGCCCACAUCCACGUCGACAUAGGACUACCCUGCUCCUCUCCGAGGGGUACAG
Molecule: RNA transcript, 5320 nt
Organism: Macrobrachium nipponense
Lineage: Eukaryota; Metazoa; Arthropoda; Malacostraca; Decapoda; Palaemonidae
Gene: DEF8
Gene name: differentially expressed in FDCP 8 homolog A-like
Exons: 14
Source: RefSeq, a predicted model, not a curated record